This is a long non-coding RNA of Brassica napus (rape), 500 nucleotides long. RefSeq lists it as uncharacterized. The transcript is spliced from 2 exons. The record is from RefSeq and is a predicted model, not a curated record. Lineage: Eukaryota; Viridiplantae; Streptophyta; Magnoliopsida; Brassicales; Brassicaceae.
UAAAUUGAGACUUUCCAUGAUUUCCUAGGAAAAGAAUCCUAUAAAUUUUGACCAAAAAAAAAAAAACCUAUAAAUAAAACUCUCCACGGAGAAUUAUAAUGCAACAUAACUUCUUCUCAAUAUAAUACUAACAAAAUCUCUAUAACAUGGGUAUCACAAAAACCUCGAUAGCAAUUUUUUUUGUAGUGGUAUUAACAAUUUCGAUUUCUAACCACAACGUUUCGGCUGUGACAGUGAUCGAGGCAGCAACCCGUCCCCCGUGCCUUUUUCUAUGUAAUGGUUUUCCACUUAACAAUUUUGCAUGUUGGCAUGAUUGUGGAUCGAAGGGGUACAAUGAUGGACGCUGUGGUGGAAAUCCGUCCAGGUGUUGUUGCCGUAAUUAAUCGAUUAUCUUUAUAAAGUAAUUUGGCAAAUUGAGUUAAAUGAUGAACUUUAUAAUUGUUGCUUUUCAGUUUAUUGAGAAUGAAUAAAACAUAAAUCAUGAUACUACAGUUUAUAUA